Molecule: non-coding RNA, 6506 nt
Organism: Anas platyrhynchos (mallard)
Lineage: Eukaryota; Metazoa; Chordata; Aves; Anseriformes; Anatidae
Source: RefSeq, a predicted model, not a curated record
GGCUGAAUUAUUCUGAUAGUCACAGGAGCAGCAUCAAAAUGCAAGAUCCUACUAUGCCCUUUCCUGCCCUACUGGCAUAGCAGAGGCCUGUGAUAGAAAGCACGGCCAAAUCUCACUUGCUUCCACUUCUUAUGGCCUCAAAACUCUUUAGGAAAUGAAGUGCUAAUCCUGGCAUUCCUGACAAAUUCUAGUGCUGGCUGUCAGAUUCAGCCUGCAGCUGCCAUUGAACAAGUUGUUUCUCUGUCUCAUUUUUAAGAUUUUUUAUGUGCUUUGCCCAUGCACGGAUAUAAUUUUAUCUGUGCUUCAUCCCGGGCUGCACAGUAGUGGCCAUCUCACCCACAGCUUCUGUGUUACCUAAAACAUGGAAAGGUUUUUCUGGAUAAACCAUCCUACGUUUGGUUCCUUUUGGUUCUACAUUUGGCUUCCUUUGGUUCUUCCCUUGCUGGGGAGCCACCAGGCCUCUGGCUCACUCCAGGCAGAUCUCUGUGGCUUGGGAACAGGGUGACAAAGUGGUGGGCUCUCCCCAAACCCGAGCAAAGAAGCUCAAUCUCCCCAGCCCAGCACUACACAGGUUUCCUAAAGGUGAUCCAGCAGGACACCUUAGCUCCAGUGCCUGGCAGGCCUGGUGCUACUGCAAGCAGAGCCAGCCUGGGGCUGUGCUGUGGCAGUGCAGUCAUGCAUUUUGGGGUUUUCGUCAGGCCAAAUUAGGCUUGGACUCACCGUGUAUAAUUGAGGUAUGGAAACUAGAAGCCACGGUGAAUUUGCUUUUGCCAAGAACAUCAUUAACACUUAAAAUACAAACGGGCAGAACCCCCUAGGGACUCCUGCACAGUCAGUAGGAGAGCCUGAUAUGUGCAGAGAGCAAUUCCCCCCUUCCACAUAAGGAUCCUUCUCUGGCUGCCCCCCUGGAGACGUCUGUUUUCCUCUAGUGCCUGUGGAGGCAGUUUCUGACUUCUAAACCUUUACACAUGUGAGCAAGAAAGGACUGCUUGGACACAAGCAGGGGGAUGUGUGCAAUCAGGCAUGUCUCUGCAAACCCUCAACAUCUGUAAAUGCUUACACGCACAUCAGGCAGAAGCAAAAGUAAUUCUGGAGUAUGUUAAGUCAGUGCAAGGGAUAAUGGUUCUUUACCGUAUUUGACCCUGUGGUGGGGCAAAUUCCCUUGAUAUUGCACAGAAGGAAAGAGUUAAUUAGGUGCCAGGCUGACUCUCAGCCACAUACUUGGAAGCCUUACACGGCCUGAUGUGGCGGGGAUAAAAGACAGGCCCUAGAUAAACAAAAGUAGGAGGCUUUCAUCUGCGAACCUCUUCACUGGCCCACCACUAAGAGCAGAGAGAUUUCCCAGAUAUGAAGGACACCCCCUCUGUGGAAACUUGAGGUCAGUGGGAUUAAACAGGUCACGGUGAGACCCGGGCUGUCCCAGGAGGGUGAGGAGCACUGCUUUCAGCCCACAGCAAGGUGGCACAGAGCCACCAGGUACCCCUAAACCUGCUCAGACUGUCCUCCACAGCCCUGCUCUCUGCACAGCCACCUCUCUGCACACCCCAUGCUAAGGAUCAGCACGAAAAGUCCCUGUUUCUACUGCCAAAAGCCCUAGGUGUAGUUUCCCCAGACAACUGCCUGUAGUGGCUUUGUGUAUAAAGAGCCAUAGAUGGCUGAAAAGAUGCACUUUUCCAUAAGCUGUUGGAAAACAUUUGGGUCUGAAUUUGAGGAUAACUUUUCUGUGUAUGUACAUAUGCACUCUGCGCUGAUAAAAAAGUAGCUUUUUAUUACAGGGAUUCCAACUGUAAACUGGAAGCUGCUAAUAUAUCUCCUGACAUUUCGAUUUUCUAUAUUAUGCGAUCUCGAGAAAUAAAGAGGACGAGUGUUCGAGUUCUCCUGUGUUUCCUGCCAGAAUGAAUGAGAUCCUCUCUCGUUUGCCAAGAACAUAAAGAUCACUUAAAACACAAACUGGCAGAUUUCCGAUCUGCCUCUACCAAACACGCUGCAUUUCCCAAUUUCAUAAAAGUGCUUUUCUCCCUAACAGAAGACGGUGAUGAUAAUCAUAGCAAUCAGUCCAAAAUACAAACAGGAUGUGGAAGGGGCUGAAUCCCAGCUGGACAGGGAUGAACACGGCUUACAUACUAAAUACAUCCACAGGAUGAUGCAGAUCGAGUUUAUACAGCAAGGAAGCAUGAACUUCAGAUUCAUCCCCGUGCUUUUUCCAAACGCCAAAAAGGAACACGUGCCUACCUGGCUGCAGAACACUCACAUUUACAACUGGCCGAAGAAUAAGAAGAACAUCCUUCUGCGGCUGCUGAGAGAGGAGGAGUACGUUGCUCCCCCAAUAGGGCCUUUACCGACGCUCCAGGUUGUGCCGCUAUGAACAUUAUCACUUAAAGUGCACAAGAAGCUUUGUUGUUAAAGAGUUGCUUUUGGCGGGGAGCCAGCCUUCUUCCAGAUGGCUCUUUUUGAUGACAGAAGACACUCUUUCUGCUCAAGGAAUUGGCUGUCUCGGGUAACUCAGGCUCAGCUUGUUCCCCACCAUGUUAAACAUCUAUUUCUGAAGCUGAUGGGGCAGAACUCUUUUCUCCUAGGUUUUUUAAUAAGCUGCAAAUGGAAAGAAUGUCCGGCUUUAUUUUAACAUCUGUUUUGAACAUAUUCCUUUAUUAGUCAAUAUAGCAAACAAAUACCAGAAAUAAUGUUGCAAUAAGUGUAAAAUGAAAAUUACAUCCUCCUUUGUGCUCAGGGUUUCUUUACAGACAUUCCUGCCGUGUACAGCAUUAACAUACAGUCACUUUGUACAUGCACUAUUAAAUACAGUUGCCUUUUGGAAGGCUACCUUACGCGUUGCGUCAGUUUUUCUCAUUGCCGGGAACAACAAGGAGUGGGAAGGGUUGAGUAACGCAAGUUUUUCUCAGACUGCCUUGCAUAAAGACACUGGCUUCAAUUAGAGGCUUUCUGGAUCUGCAGUCUCUGGAGCUCCGCUUCCUUACAGCACAGCCUCUAACACCUUGGGCAUGUCACAGCAGCAGCCCGCAAAGGGACAGCGAAGUGCAACGCUACGUGUGCAGGCAGUGCCCUGGAGUGCUGCUGGACGGUUACAGCGGGCCUUCAGCUUCAUGGCUGCUCCUCACCCCUUGUUUAAAACAGCAUGUCAGAGAGGGAUUGCCAGCUGGAAACCAGGGACUGUUAGGAGAAAUAACACCGACUCCUACAACGUGCAGGCAGUAUGGAAUAAUAAAAUAAUCAAAGACGCUGGAGAGCCACGGGGUGUUGGCAACCGGGACGGCUCAACAUCAUCACAUCUGCUAAAACCUGAGCGUGUUUUUGCAGAGAACAUAAGCAUUACUUCAGUAAGGCUUCUUUAUUUCAGUGCUUUAACCUUUGCUGAGAUAACAGUGCGCCCCGUUGGCUUGAAAUUCUGCAGCCGUCAUCUUUCGAGCAGUCCCAAGAACAACCUGCUCUGCUGCGGAGCACUUCACGCCUUCCCACUACAGGCUCUUUCCAAGAUCCCCUUUAUUAUUUGUUACGAAGUGACCCAAAUACAGCUUCACAAAAAAGCAAGCGUGUUUAGCAGUCUGAAAAGUAAAUUAACCAGAAGUUGAUGCUCCUGUUACAUUGCCCGAGUUAUUUAAUUAGCUUUCCAUGAAAGCCGUGCCUGUGUGGUGUGUUGAUAGAGGACGUGCUUCGUGCUGCUGACGAGAAACAAAGAACCACCUUGCAGCUAUUCUCGGGACAGAUUUUCCUUUAUCAGGCAUUUGCAUACAGAGCCACAGCUGCCUGAGAGCACUAAGAGAAGGGUGUAUCCAGCGUUGUCGAAUCUUAUAACUUUGAAUGUGGUAUUUGCUGUGUUUCUGCCCAGUUCCUAGAGGGAAGCUCAGCAACUGAAAGAGGCCAACACCUGCCGUGCUGGCAGUCCCCAGGCAAGGCACGAUGCUAUUACGCAGUGGCACUUCUUGCCGUCUUCUUUGGGGGUAGGAGCAGUAUUUUCCAUAUGAUAAAAUGAAAAACUAAGCUCCUAAUUAGGAGAAUGAUUUUCUAGUAUACGGUCACGAGUCUAAAAUCAUGACAGAAAUCCUUCUUAAAAGGUCAACGAAGUGAAGAAAAAGGGGGGGAAGGGAAAGAGGCUUGGUUACCUAAACACGGCAUUUAGGGUCACUUGGAGGGUCGUACAACUUCGAGCUCAGCUUCCAGGCUCUGUGCUAGAAAACACAACUUUCUUGGAGUGCUGUGGCACGUCUGCCAGCCCUGUGCAGCUGUUUCAGGUACUUCAAGAUACCUAAAGCAUUUUAACGCUCAAAAAUAAUCCCAGCAUUCACAACAUGCACUUUUUAGCAAUGUUCAUACUUGGGGGAGCACAGAAGGGAGCUUGAGGUUGGGAAUGAGGGGUGUCAUCUGGCAACAAGACCACGGCACAAGACGCUGAAGGCACAGCCAACGAGGCCAGGGAAAUGCAUGGCAGGAGAGGCAGCUGCGAUCUGGGGCCUCCGUCUCUUCCCAGAGGCUGGCAGGAAGGAAUGAGAGCUCCGUGCCCCAUCGCCCUCCAGCCCUAGUAGAGCUGGGAGGGGACUGGGAGGAGUUUUUUGGGGUGCUCAGCGUGGGUGGGAAGUCUGGAGGAGGAACCUGUAGGAAAUGAGGCCACGUUACUAUCACUGCUCACAGAGCCGCGUGUUAGGGAGACCAGUUGAGCGCUCAAGAUGAUUAGCAAGGCUGGGUAGUAAAUUCCUUUCAUCGUUUUGGCUGUCAUCCUAAAAUACGUGCUCUAGAUUUGCUUGGUUUGGGCCAGGGAAUUUCAUUAAGUAAUUCCCACACCAUGCGAUGCACGAGGUCGCAUUAAAUGCUCCGGCGACCAUCUCUAUUCUUCUGUUUCGCUGAUCCCUGUCUGAAAAAACCACGAUUGCAGAGUGAGGGAGAAAAAAAUAAAGCAUUGGCGUUUCGGAAGUACAAAGAGCCCCAUCUAUUUAACUGCAGGGAUUUUUUAUUUAUUUAUUUAUUUUUAAUUGAAUAACAAUUCCCAGGAUCCAUUGAUCUUUACAUUAGUUAGAGCGUCCUACAAGGACAGAAACCACGAUGGGGAGAGGGCGAGUAACGAGCGAGCAGCCUCGUGAAUCCCUUCCCCUAAAGCUUUGUAUUUGGGGAGAGACAGAUGGUGGGAGCUGCGAGGAGGGAGAGGGAGGAGAAAACAACGAAAGUAGGGAUCGAGGACAGCGAAACAGAAAUAAUAAAGCAGGUGAGGGAGAAGAGGCUGAAAACACACAGGUGGUACGAAGGUAAUCCCAUACAACCCCGUGUGCAGGGCAUGAAAUGCUGCCCCGAGAGCUGCACAACUCUGGGCUGGUGGCUCGGGGGAACGCUAAGGCUGAGGGAAAUGUGAGGGAGGGUGUUAAGGGCAGGGAGAUACAGGGCCUGGCGGGGUGAGAGGCCGAGUGGGUAAGGCAGGAAAACAGCCCCGGGAAAGCCCCUCCUGCAUGGCACGCAGAGCAGGUGCGUGUUAUCUCUCAGAGCAAACACCUCCCCUGUCCCUCUCUUCUGCCCACACCUGUGGGUUUAAUAAUCACCACAUAAUAAAUACCUCGUGUUUGGGGAAACAGCCCCUGCCGGGCAGGCCACAGCUUUCUGCAGCCUCCCCCCGGCCUGCCCAGGAUUGCCCUGCCCCGGCCCCCGGCCUGUGGGGCCGUCCCCUCGCCCCAACCCUGGUAGGGGUCCCUGGGGAUUCAUGGGUAGGCCCAGGGAUCCCAGGCAAAAUCCCAUGGACACAUCUGAGCGGGACAGGGUGCUGGGGAAGGGGAGAGGGGAGAGCCAGCCUCCUAAGGACUCCCAUUCUGGACAUGCUGACUUUGAGGCUUCCUUCAAAGCUAUCUUCUGUUCCUCGGGCCGACGGUUCUUACAACGUGUCCGCUCUAUUUUUCCUCAGCCACCCCCGGCGACAGCCCCCUCAGCGCGGCGCUUUGUGCCGGGCGCGUUUGGCAUCGCCGUGCUCCGCGCGUGGGAUUUCCAGCGAGCAGCGGGGGCUGCAGGAUGCUGCUCAGGUCUUCAAAGGAAGCAAUUUAGCGAGCAAGACUUCUAAAAAAGAUAACACCAGUGGGGAUCGAGCUGAAAAGCCCAGGGAGUAGCUAAUGCGUUUAAAGAGCCUUUCAUCCCUCGGCUGGCAGAGAGAAUUCAGCCUGGCUUGGUACUGACCAAAGCCACCGAGGUUAGGGUCUGGUAGCAUCGCUUAAACUCUCCGUGGAUGCUGUGUGCAGCUCACUCAUGUGUACCGCGUAAGGCACUGAGAAAUCAUUUAGAAGGAGAACAUUUAUCUCCAUUUCACUGCCGAAUUGCUGCAGACAGCACAACGCCAUCAGCUCGCUCUGCCGCAGGUGCCUUACCCAAGGAGCGGCGCUGAGAGCAAACGGGCCACUUAGGUGAAGUUAUCUGAGGCUUACUGACAAGUACUCUGCACACGCAAGUAAUUUGUAUUUUUAUGGGUCCAUUUUCCUCCCACUCCUACAACAGAGAUGCUUUUUUCCUGAAGCACCGUCUGG